AUUGAACGCUGGCGGCAGGCCUAACACAUGCAAGUCGAGCGGUAACACAGGGAGCUUGCUCCUGGGUGACGAGCGGCGGACGGGUGAGUAAUGUCUGGGAAACUGCCUGAUGGAGGGGGAUAACUACGGGAAACGGUAGCUAAUACCGCAUAACGUCGCAAGACCAAAGAGGGGGACCUUCGGGCCUCUUGCCCUCAGAUGUGCCCAGAUGGGAUUAGCUAGUAGGUGGGUGAACGGCUCACCUAGGCGACGAUCCCUAGCUGGUCUGAGAGGAUGACCAGCCACACUGGAACUGAGACACGGUCCAGACUCCUACGGGAGGCAGCAGUGGGGAAUAUUGCACAAUGGGCGCAAGCCUGAUGCAGCCAUGCCGCGUGUAUGAAGAAGGCCUUCGGGUUGUAAAGUACUUUCAGCGAGGAGGAAGGCAUUGUGGUUAAUAACCACAGUGAUUGACGUUACUCGCAGAAGAAGCACCGGCUAACUCCGUGCCAGCCGCCGCAGUAA
This 504-nucleotide ribosomal RNA is filed under the name uncultured bacterium. RNAcentral's name for it is "partial 16S ribosomal RNA". It matches the Rfam family "Bacterial small subunit ribosomal RNA", at positions 30 to 523 of the family's 1533-position model. The record is from RNAcentral.